This is a non-coding RNA of Oryza sativa Japonica Group (Japanese rice), 2018 nucleotides long. Lineage: Eukaryota; Viridiplantae; Streptophyta; Magnoliopsida; Poales; Poaceae. The record is from RefSeq and is a predicted model, not a curated record.
GAUCUCCUCCCCACGCCCACUCCUCCUUCCCCCACGCCGCGUCCUUCGCUCUCCUCCCUGUGUCGCCUCCUUGCCCCGCCGUCUCGUCGCCUCCUCACCAGCCAUGCCCGCCGGCCUCCUCUCCAGACCUGCAAUCGCCGCCGCCCUCUCCAAUCUCCUCCGCGCCUCCACCUCGCAUCGGAUUGAUCCUCCACCUUCGCCCUCCUCCCUGCGUCGCCUCCUCACCUCGCCGCCGCAUCGCCUCCUCAGCAGCCACGGCCGCCGGCCUACUCUCCAGACGCUCCCUCGCUGCCGCCCUCGCAAAUCUCCUCCGCGCGCUCUCAUCCCUCCCCUAACCAUCACCGGCCGCCUCCCCUUCCAACCUCCCCUAGCCAUCCGCCCGUCGCCCCCUGCCCACCGAAGACGGAUUUCAGUUAGCGUUAGUGAGGUGGAGGCUUUGUUCGAGCUGUUCAAGAGCAUUAAUGGUUCUGUGAUCGACGAUGGGCUUAUCAAUAAGGUGCUUCCUCACUUCCAAUCUUUCAUGGAAUGGCAGCCAUAUUGUAGAUUAGUAUUCUUGAGAAAUGUCAUAGGAAAUGGAUCAUUUCACAAAUCAUAACAAUUUAUUCUUGGUAAGUAUUAAGGCUGGCCCAAUCAUAUCAUUUUAUUCUUGAUUUCAUGUUAACAAGCUGGCCCAAUUAACCAUUGAUCAAUAUUUUUUUUGGAAGAUAAACUUCAUUUAAUAAUGCCAUGAAUUGGAGAAGGAUGAGAAAACAAAUUACUAGACAAUAUUCAGUGGUAUUAUUUGGGAUGAAAUGUUUUAGGCUAAUAUAUUUUUAUUUACAUUCCCCUUUUCUACCCUCUAAGUAAAUAACUGAAAAUAGACGUCUUAGCUUCUUUUCGAUUCUCAGAAAUUUCGCUAAUUUGAGCAAGUUCAGCAGAUCGCCAUGCAUAACCCCGCAGAUCAGAGAUCUCAUGUGUCCAUAUCCUGUUGUUUCCGGUCGACAUCCUUGGUUCAUCAUUACCUCAAUUGAAGUUUUAGGUGCCAGUUUUGGUGUGAAGAACUAAAUUGAAACCGAACAAUGAUUUUCCACAGUUGCGGUUAACUUCUAAACAAGUUAGUUCUGCAAUGGAUAACAAUGGUGGCGGUUCAGCACCAAUAUCGUCCAAAAGAUCAUGUCAUUGUUUCAUCCAUCCAGCCAUGGUAAUAUCCAUUGCUCAAUUGAUAUAUUUUUGCUUCCUAAUUUUACGUACACUCUUCCUUUAGGUCUUUUUGUGGAUAUAACUAAUGUGAUUAAUGCCAAGUUGACAAAUAAGCAUGCCGCGGUUAUCCAAAGUGAAAUCAAUGUUCCAAAAGACCGUGAGAACUAUCAACAGAUCAACAAGAACUCUACAUCUAAGAUUCAGAGAGCCUCAACUAUUGGAUUUGGCAAUGAAAAUAACGCUUCUGUCAUUAGGCAUGUGCGGCUACCAUGUACAGACAAAGCCGAAUUGUCGUACGGUACACCCAACAUGCAUGAAGAUGUUACUAAUCUCAGUACGGCUGAACUAAAAAGGAAGCGUGCUAGAGAGAGGUACGCAUCAUUGACAAAAGAGCUAAAGGAAGAUGGAAACAAGAAGAGACGUGAUUCCAGAAAGCGGAGGAAGGAUGAAUCAAUAGGUUUUUAUAAAUUAACACAUCUAUUGUUAUCAAAAUUUGGACUUUUUGAACACAACACCUUAUUAUUAUUGAAUUAAUUCAACUCUUUCAGAUCAUUGAUCUCAAGAUUCCACGACCAAAAUGGCUACUCCUGUGUCCUCAACUGUUUCAGGUUGAUGUGUAAUAUGGUAACAUGUAGAAAUUUGUUAGGUGUUUCGUACCAAAUACGUUCUAAUCUGUUUGGAUAUGAGCAGCCCCGCUUGGAGAUAUUACAAAUGUACGUGCUGACAGAUUGCUUCUGAUAGUUUAACAAAUUUUCACUCAAUUUCUUUUCACUUAAUAAAAUUACCCGUUGCAAUGCACGGGCACCUUACUAGUUUUCUACGAAAACAGAACUGAAAAA